Girardinichthys multiradiatus is the source of this 436-nucleotide long non-coding RNA. RefSeq lists it as uncharacterized. The record is from RefSeq and is a predicted model, not a curated record. The transcript is spliced from 2 exons. Lineage: Eukaryota; Metazoa; Chordata; Actinopteri; Cyprinodontiformes; Goodeidae.
GUCCAGGAGCCCAGCUGAUACACUCAAGUCUGCCACAGCAACUCACGGAACACUGACUUUGUGUGUAAUUGCAAUUUCCAGCAGAGGAAAAAUGCUGACUGAAAACACACCUGGCGCUGGGAUAAGGUGAACUCUGUUUCUGGAGGCUGAGUGGUACUAUUCAUGUUUCUGAGUGCUGACACGGCAAACAGUCGCUCACCGAAUAUUUUCACACUGAUCGACCUCGUGGCGAGCCGCUACAGCUGUUUGAAAUGACUUAUACAGACAGAAAAGCAUCAAAUUUGUGGGAAGACUAGAUGGUUGUGAAAAUUGAUGUCCUGCCUGUCAGUCUAUCGCAUAAAAUCCUAAUAAAAUACAUUUAAGUUUAUGGUUGUCAUGCAACACAAUGGGAAAAGUGGAAUGAAUACUCUCAAAAGGAAGAGGUAACAAUAUUGAC